AACGAACGCUGGCGGCAUGCCUAACACAUGCAAGUCGAACGAGACCUUCGGGUCUAGUGGCGCACGGGUGCGUAACGCGUGGGAACCUGCCCUUAGGUUCGGAAUAACUCCCCGAAAGGGGUGCUAAUACCGGAUAAUGUCUUCGGACCAAAGAUUUAUCGCCUUUGGAUGGGCCCGCGUUGGAUUAGCUAGUUGGUAGGGUAAAAGCCUACCAAGGCGACGAUCCAUAGCUGGUCUGAGAGGAUGAUCAGCCACACUGGGACUGAGACACGGCCCAGACUCCUACGGGAGGCAGCAGUGGGGAAUAUUGGACAAUGGGCGAAAGCCUGAUCCGGCAAUGCCGCGUGAGUGAUGAAGGCCUUAGGGUUGUAAAGCUCUUUUACCAGGGAUGAUAAUGACAGUACCGGGAGAAUAAGCUCCGGCUAACUCCGUG
RNAcentral lists this ribosomal RNA (433 nucleotides) under uncultured bacterium. RNAcentral's name for it is "partial 16S ribosomal RNA". It matches the Rfam family "Bacterial small subunit ribosomal RNA", at positions 29 to 507 of the family's 1533-position model. The record is from RNAcentral.